CACGGGUUGCAGCAGUACUACGUGAAACUGAAGGACAACGAGAAGAACCGGAAGCUCUUUGACCUUUUGGAUGUUCUUGAGUUCAACCAGGUCAGUCGUUCAGGUCCAGUUGGGGGUGA
Molecule: microRNA precursor, 119 nt
Organism: Cavia aperea (Brazilian guinea pig)
Lineage: Eukaryota; Metazoa; Chordata; Mammalia; Rodentia; Caviidae
Source: Ensembl